CCACCAAGACGAUGAUCAGUAGCCGGACUGAGAGGUUGAACGGCCACAUUGGGACUGAGAUACGGCCCAGACUCCUACGGGAGGCAGCAGUCGGGAAUAUUGCGCAAUGGAGGAAACUCUGACGCAGUGACGCCGCGUGCAGGAAGAAGGUUUUCGGAUUGUAAACUGCUUUAGACAGGGAAGAAGAAGUGACAGGUACCUGUAGAAUAAGCUCCGGCUAACUAC
This 225-nucleotide ribosomal RNA is filed under the name uncultured bacterium. RNAcentral describes it as "partial 16S ribosomal RNA". It matches the Rfam family "Bacterial small subunit ribosomal RNA", at positions 265 to 504 of the family's 1533-position model. The record is from RNAcentral.